This 468-nucleotide ribosomal RNA is filed under the name uncultured bacterium. Its description in RNAcentral is "partial 16S ribosomal RNA". It matches the Rfam family "Bacterial small subunit ribosomal RNA", at positions 28 to 507 of the family's 1533-position model. The record is from RNAcentral.
GACGAACGCUGGCGGCGUGCUUAACACAUGCAAGUCGAACGGAAAGGCCCUGCUUUUGUGGGGUGCUCGAGUGGCGAACGGGUGAGUAACACGUGAGUAACCUGCCCUUGACUUUGGGAUAACUUCAGGAAACUGGGGCUAAUACCGGCUAGGAGCUCCUGCUGCAUGGUGGGGGUUGGACAUUUUCGGCGGGUGGGGAUGGACUCGCGGCUUAUCAGCUUGUUGGUGGGGUAGUGGCUUACCAAGGCUUUGACGGGUAGCCGGCCUGAGAGGGUGACCGGCGACAUUGGGACUGAGAUACGGCCCAGACGCCUACGGGAGGCAGCAGUGGGGAAUAUUGCACAAUGGGCGGAAGCCUGAUGCAGCAACGCCGCGUGCGGGAUGACGGCCUUCGGGUUGUAAACCGCUUUCGCCUGUGACGAAGCGUGAGUGACGGUAAUGGGUAAAGAAGCACCGGCUAACUACGUG